This 492-nucleotide ribosomal RNA is filed under the name uncultured bacterium. Its description in RNAcentral is "partial 16S ribosomal RNA". It matches the Rfam family "Bacterial small subunit ribosomal RNA", at positions 29 to 507 of the family's 1533-position model. The record is from RNAcentral.
AGUGAACGCUGGCGGUAGGCCUAACACAUGCAAGUCGAACGGCAGCACAGUAAGAGCUUGCUCUUACGGGUGGCGAGUGGCGGACGGGUGAGGAAUACAUCGGAAUCUACUUUUUCGUGGGGGAUAACGUAGGGAAACUUACGCUAAUACCGCAUACGACCUACGGGUGAAAGCAGGGGAUCUUCGGACCUUGCGCGAUUGAAUGAGCCGAUGUCGGAUUAGCUAGUUGGCGGGGUAAAGGCCCACCAAGGCGACGAUCCGUAGCUGGUCUGAGAGGAUGAUCAGCCACACUGGAACUGAGACACGGUCCAGACUCCUACGGGAGGCAGCAGUGGGGAAUAUUGGACAAUGGGCGCAAGCCUGAUCCAGCCAUACCGCGUGGGUGAAGAAGGCCUUCGGGUUGUAAAGCCCUUUUGUUGGGAAAGAAAGCCAGCCGGCUAAUACCUGGUUGGGAUGACGGUACCCAAAGAAUAAGCACCGGCUAACUUCGUG